GAAUCUUCCGCAAUGGACGCAAGUCUGACGGAGCAACGCCGCGUGAGUGAUGAAGNUUNNCGGAUNGNAAAACUCUGUUGUUANNNNNGAACAAGUACCGUUCGAAUAGGUCGGUACCUUGACGGUACCUAACCAGAAAGCCACGGCUAACUACGUGCCAGCAGCCGCGGUAAUACGUAGGUGGCAAGCGUUAUCCGGAAUUAUUGGGCGUAAAGCGCGCGCAAGCGGUUUCUUAAGUCUGAUGUGAAAGCCCACGGCUCAACCGUGGAGGGUCAUUGGAAACUGGGGAACUUGAGUGCAGAAGAGGAGAGUGGAAUUCCAUGUGUAGCGGUGAAAUGCGUAGAGAUAUGGAGGAACACCAGUGGCGAAGGCGACUCUCUGGUCUGCAACUGACGCUGAGGCGCGAAAGCGUGGGGAGCAAACA
This 424-nucleotide ribosomal RNA is filed under the name uncultured bacterium. RNAcentral describes it as "partial 16S ribosomal RNA". It matches the Rfam family "Bacterial small subunit ribosomal RNA", at positions 359 to 774 of the family's 1533-position model. The record is from RNAcentral.